This 392-nucleotide ribosomal RNA is filed under the name uncultured bacterium. RNAcentral describes it as "bacterial SSU rRNA". It matches the Rfam family "Bacterial small subunit ribosomal RNA", at positions 30 to 420 of the family's 1533-position model. The record is from RNAcentral.
AUUGAACGCUGGCGGCAUGCCUUACACAUGCAAGUCGAACGGCAGCACGGGAGCUUGCUCCUGGUGGCGAGUGGCGAACGGGUGAGUAAUACAUCGGAACGUACCCUGAAGUGGGGGAUAACGUAGCGAAAGUUACACUAAUACCGCAUAUUCUGUGAGCAGGAAAGAGGGGGAUCGCAAGACCUCUUGCUUUAGGAGCGGCCGAUGUCGGAUUAGCUAGUUGGUGAGGUAAAGGCUCACCAAGGCGACGAUCUGUAGCGGGUCUGAGAGGAUGAUCCGCCACACUGGGACUGAGACACGGCCCAGACUCCUACGGGAGGCAGCAGUGGGGAAUUUUGGACAAUGGGCGCAAGCCUGAUCCAGCCAUGCCGCGUGAGUGAAGAAGGCCUCGG